UAAAAUCAUAUUACUAUCCCUGCUAAACUAAUAAUGUUAUUUUUCUCUGAAAAAGUAAAAACAAUUUGAAUACGAAACGUAAAUAAUUUGGAUUGAUUUGUAAUAAAAAAAAUUGACAAAGGAAAUGAUUUGGUGGGAACAUUGGAUCCGGAUUCACAGGCCAAAAUCCAAAAUAGAGUUAUUUCAGCCAAAUUGAUGUAUUUUCAACUGCCCCUACCAUUAAUUCUCAAAAACAAAAAAACAAAAAAAAAUAUCCCUACCAUUAUUUCAGCUAAAGUAGUGGAGGCCUUUGCUCCUUGCCAGUUGCCACUGGCUGGUUC
RNAcentral lists this long non-coding RNA (320 nucleotides) under Salvia miltiorrhiza (redroot sage). RNAcentral's name for it is "long non-coding RNA (SMIL_LNC011569)". The record is from RNAcentral. Lineage: Eukaryota; Viridiplantae; Streptophyta; Magnoliopsida; Lamiales; Lamiaceae.